Molecule: long non-coding RNA, 525 nt
Organism: Bubalus bubalis (water buffalo)
Lineage: Eukaryota; Metazoa; Chordata; Mammalia; Artiodactyla; Bovidae
Exons: 3
Source: RefSeq, a predicted model, not a curated record
GCCUAAGAGCUGUAACACGGUUUGUCCAAGACCCGAGAGCUGUGAUGCACCGAGGGCUUUAAUGUCCGUUGCUCCAAAUCUUUGUUGUGACAAGACAAAGAACCAAGGAACAUACACUCGCGUGACACAAUGUCAGACUCAAAGAAUUGAGGAUUUGAACUUUUUCCAGAAGAUUGCAAAUUCAGUAAGGUUUGCAAAUUUCCUGUAAAUUUUACAGUCAGCUCUAAAAGUGGGUACAAGUUGGUUUCUCCAACAGACCACUGGCAACGUCCUGCACUAUGUAAGUUGGAAGUGUCCAGCAUAAUGAUGUGUAUGACACAGCUGGUAAGCCCUGCUGGUGCAGCAUCCCAACACCUCUGUGCCAUCCAGAGAGCCAUGGUCAUGCCCUCUCCAACAAGAUCUGGAUCUCAGCCUUGGUGGCCAUGGGGGUUCUUCCUUCAGUGCUCUAAUUCAAUCCUAGGGGUGAGGGCUAUUAGAUAUUAUAAAAUAGACAUGCUGUUAUACAUUAAAUCUACUGUUUCCAUA